This 497-nucleotide ribosomal RNA is filed under the name uncultured bacterium. Its description in RNAcentral is "partial 16S ribosomal RNA". It matches the Rfam family "Bacterial small subunit ribosomal RNA", at positions 28 to 507 of the family's 1533-position model. The record is from RNAcentral.
GAUGAACGCUGGCGGCGUGCCUAAUACAUGCGAGUCGAGCGAACAGAUGAGGAGCUUGCUCCUCUGACGUUAGCGGCGGACGGGUGAGUAACACGUGGAUAACCUACCUAUAAGACUGGGAUAACUUCGGGAAACCGGAGCUAAUACCGGAUAAUAUAUUGAACCGCAUGGUUCAAUAGUGAAAGACGGUUUUGCUGUCACUUAUAGAUGGAUCCGCGCCGCAUUAGCUAGUUGGUAAGGUAACGGCUUACCAAGGCAACGAUGCGUAGCCGACCUGAGAGAGUGAUCGGCCACACUGGAACUGAGACACGGUCCAGACUCCUACGGGAGGCAGCAGUAGGGAAUCUUCCGCAAUGGGCGAAAGCCUGACGGAGCAACGCCGCGUGAGUGAUGAAGGUCUUCGGAUCGUAAAACUCUGUUAUUAGGGAAGAACAAAUGUGUAAGUAACUAUGCACGUCUUGACGGUACCUAAUCAGAAAGCCACGGCUAACUACGUG